Molecule: ribosomal RNA, 881 nt
Filed under: uncultured bacterium
Lineage: Bacteria
Description: bacterial SSU rRNA
Rfam family: Bacterial small subunit ribosomal RNA
Source: RNAcentral
GAGGAGCUUGCUCCUCUGAUCAGUGGCGAACGGGUGAGUAACACGUGAGCAACCUGCCCCAGACUCUGGGAUAACAGUUGGAAACAGCUGCUAAUACCGGAUACGAGACGGAGAGGCAUCUCUACCGUCUGGAAAGUUUUUCGGUCUGGGAUGGACUCGCGGCCUAUCAGCUAGUUGGUGAGGUAAUGGCUCACCAAGGCGACGACGGGUAGCCGGCCUGAGAGGGCGACCGGCCACACUGGGACUGAGACACGGCCCAGACUCCUACGGGAGGCAGCAGUGGGGAAUAUUGCACAAUGGGCGAAAGCCUGAUGCAGCGACGCCGCGUGAGGGAUGACGGCCCUCGGGUUGUAAACCUCUUUCAGCAGGGAAGAAGCGAAAGUGACGGUACCUGCAGAAGAAGCACCGGCUAACUACGUGCCAGCAGCCGCAGUAAUACGUAGGGUGCGAGCGUUGUCCGGAAUUAUUGGGCGUAAAGAGCUUGUAGGCGGUUUGUCGCGUCUGCAGUGAAAAUCCGAGGCUCAACCUCGGACUUGCUGUGGGUACGGGCAGACUAGAGUAUGGUAGGGGAGACCGGAAUUCCUGGUGUAGCGGUGGAAUGCGCAGAUAUCAGGAGGAACACCGAUGGCGAAGGCAGGUCUCUGGGCCAUAACUGACGCUGAGAAGCGAAAGCAUGGGGAGCGAACAGGAUUAGAUACCCUGGUAGUCCAUGCCGUAAACGUUGGGCGCUAGGUGUGGGGCUCAUUCCACGAGCUCCGUGCCGCAGCUAACGCAUUAAGCGCCCCGCCUGGGGAGUACGGCCGCAAGGCUAAAACUCAAAGGAAUUGACGGGGGCCCGCACAAGCGGCGGAGCAUGCGGAUUAAUUCGAUGCAACGCGAAG